This 1429-nucleotide ribosomal RNA is filed under the name uncultured bacterium. RNAcentral describes it as "bacterial SSU rRNA". It matches the Rfam family "Bacterial small subunit ribosomal RNA". The record is from RNAcentral.
AGAGUUUGAUCAUGGCUCAGAGUGAACGCUAGCGGUGCGCCUAACACAUGCAAGUCGAGCGACUCUUCGAGAGGAGCGGCGAACGGCUGCGUAACACGUUGGCAUCUGCCCCAAACUCAGGGAUAACAUCGAGAAAUCGGUGCUAAUACCGGAUAGUCCUGUAAAGGUAAAGCUUUUGCGGUUUGGGAGGAGCCUGCGGCAUAUCAGCUUGUUGGUAAGGUAAUGGCUUACCAAGGCUAUGACGUGUAGCUGGUCUGAGAGGACGACCAGCCAGAAUGGGACUGAGACACGGCCCAUACUCCUACGGGAGGCAGCAGUGAGGAAUCUUCCACAAUGGGGGCAACCCUGAUGGAGCGACACCGCGUGAAGGAUGACGCCUUUUUUGGGUGUAAACUUCUGUUCUGAGGGACGAAAUUUUUGACGGUACCUCAGGAGCAAGCACCGGCUAAUUCCGUGCCAGCAGCCGCGGUAAGACGGGAGGUGCAAGCGUUACUCGGAAUUACUGGGCGUAAAGCGUCCGCAGGCGUUUUUAUAAGUCUGGCGUAAAAGCACGGAGCUCAACUCCGUGUCUGUGCUGGAAACUGUAAAAAUAGAGUUAUUCAGAGGCAACUGGAAUUCCAUGUGGAGGGGUAAAAUCCGUUGAUCCAUGGAGGAACGCCAAAAGCGAAAGCAGGUUGCUGGGGAUAUACUGACGCUCAGGGACGAAAGCGUGGGGAGCGAAGGGGAUUAGAUACCCCCGUAGUCCACGCCCUAAACGAUGUGUGCUCGGUGUGGGAAUUUACAAUUGAUUUCCGUGCCUUAAGCUAACGCGGUAAGCACACCGCCUGGGAACUACGGUCGCAAGACUAAAACUCAAAGGAAUAGACGGGGACCCACACAAGCGGUGGAGCGUGGGGUUUAAUUCGAUGAUAAGCGGAGCACCUCACCUAGGCUUGACAUCCCGAGAAUCAACUGGAAACAGCAGAGUGCCGCAAGGAACUCGGUGACAGGUGAUGCACGGUCGUCGUCAGCUCGUGCUUUGAAGUGUACUGUUAAGUCAGCAAACGAGCGCAACCCUAAUCCUAUGUUGCUUUUUCAUAGGAGACUGCCGCCUCCAAGGCGGAGGAAGGUUAGGAUGACGUCAGAUCUGCGUGUCCCUUAUGCCUAGGGCAACACCCGCGCUACAAUGGUCAGUACAAAGGGUAGCCAACCCGCGAGGGGGAGCCAAUCCCACAAAACUGAUCUCAGUUCGGAUUGGAGUCUGCAACUCGACUCCAUGAAGUUGGAAUCGCUAGUAAACGUGAAUCAGCUAUGUCACGUUGAAUAUGUUCCUGGGUCUUGUACUCACCGCCCGUCAAGUCAUGAAAGGCAGAGACGCCCGAAGCACCUUUAUCCCUCGGGAGAGGUACCACGGUGGAGCUGCUGAUUGGGACUAAGUCGUAACAAGGUA